UCUGAAACUCACUAUCAAAAGAGAGGAAACUAUAGCCUCCCUUCAGGUGAUAUCAUUCUACACAGCAGCAUCUUCUCUACCAAGUCCAAGUGUUAUAUUUGUGAAGGAGGAUUUUGCAAAGGAACUCACAAGAUCUUAGAAAUUUUUUUUGAUCUUAGAGACCAGUCCAACUCUUUAUUUUAUAAAUGAGAAAACCGUGAUACUCUAAGUACAGAAACCUGAGCCAUAGCAACUUCAUGAUUUUCAAAGCAAGAGUGUAGAUUCUGAGUUAACAGACAGGUGGGGUUGUCUACAUGGGGUUGUGAUAGUCAGAGCAGGGAAAUAGAAAUCAUGGGUGAGGGCCAGCACGUAUUGUGGAGUCUGUGCCUCGCUGCCACCUUCUCAAUUCCUUCUGAAUCUCUGUCCCUUGAGGUCUCAUCAUCCCCCUACAUUCCACUAUUCCUACAGAAAUCAGAGAAGGCUGUGCGAUCCUAGGCUUGGCAAGAGGAGGCAGGCAAUAGAACAUGAACUUUAUGGCAGCGUCUUACUGUUCACAGACUACAUUCAUGACAGAUUGGGACUAUGUCACAUAAGAGAGCAGGAGACACCGUAUUUAGUGCAGACUGUGGAUUUUGAAUUGAGAGCCUCAGAGUCUUGGUACUGGAUAUUGGUCCCCCAGUGCAAAUGGAAACCCCAGUGUGGGAAUAAAGGCAGAAAGGGGUUUAUCAAAGUUAGAAGGAGUCAACGCUUAUUGGUUCGCUUGGAUUUCAGAGACAGGCAGCACUCUAAGAUUCCAUCCGUGGUUACAUCAGACUGAAAGAAUAGAGGUGUACAAGUGCAGCUGGGGAUGUUGAGCCAGGAACUGAUAGUUUUAAAAAGAAUCUCUUAACAGUGCAUUGUAAAUAGCAGUCUACACCUAACAUCCAUGGUGUUCUUAAUAAAGUUUUAGUUAGAUUCCAACAGUCAAAGAAUCAAAGACUUCUCACAAUCAUCUGGUUUGAUACUGUGUGUUAACAGUAGUCAGUCCAAUAUUGUGACAAAGACAUGAUCUAUGCUGUUGGCCAAAGCCAAAGUGAAUGCAAAACAAAAAUUAGUGUCCAUAUUUUUCAAACUGUAAUCAACACAUCAAUAAUUAUAUCGAGGGAGGCACCUCUGAACAGCUGAGUAGAAAAAUGGAAGUCUUUGGUUUUGAGUCCUGCUGAUAAAUAUCAUAAUUUGACUGCUGGUUUUUUUUUUCACCUACCUUUUAGUUGAUCCUAAAUAUGGCUUUAACUCAUGUACUGUAUUGCUUAUAAAUAUUGUGAAAACCCUAAAAUUAUCAGUUGAUGUACUCACAGCUCUUGAGGUUUCGUUUCUUACAUUUUAUAUCUUAUUAUAACCCCUUGAACUCAUUCAUUGAAAAAGAUAUUUUUCGUAGUUAUGGUGAUUAUGAUUAAAAUAUGCCAUUGUAAUCAGUAUUCUGGAAUCACAGGAAGAAUAUCAAAAAGGAGAGAGUUACAAAGGCAAGAGCUAGGUUCUAGGCCUGACUCUGGCAUCAGCUCUUGAUUUUGGGCAAGUCUCUUUCUCUGAGCCUCAGAUCUCUCCUCUGAAAAAAUCAAUGGGCUGAGUAACAGAGAGUUAGCAAGUCACAGAUCUCUACAGGGUCCAGGUUGGCUCAGUGUGUAAUAGAAGCAUGCAGGCUAGAUUGACACUGGUAUGCUAGGUCUAAAGGGAAUAGAGUGACUGAGCCUCAGAUGUUACUCCUGCCUCUUAGUACUUAAAAGGACUGGAUGUUUAUAUAUGGAAUUUCAAUAUUUUAAAAGUUUACAGUUAACACAUGCAAAAAAAAUCUUGUAUGAGGUCAAGAAACUGUGAACUGAAGUUUGGCACUUACCAUCAGCCUCUACAUGGAGUAAAACAUGAGCCACUGCAGCUGCUGACCCACAGAACCCCCUGAGUGGAGCUCAGGGUGGAGACCAGGAGUGAGGCACUCUGUGCUCUGGGAAAACUGGAAGAGCGGGCCUUCAGAUAGUCAGAUAUUUUCAGGAGAAGAUUUUUCUUGAGCCCACUUCUUGCAUCUCCUCAUAUAUAGUAAAACACAAAAAUCCAUCAAUGAUGACUGAUAUCUGUGACCAGUAGUACCUUCAUGAGAGCUGCAGAAAACUUCUAUAAAAUGUUUGCAUGGCUGCAAGCACCCCCCCCAAUAUCUUGAUAUUUCCCCUUUCCUCUUUGGGCUGCCAAAAUAAAUACUAAAUACUGCCCUCUGAGCUGAAGUUAGUGGGCAAAACAGAAGAUGUCAUGGUCACCUGCAAGAACAGCCACUCCCAAGGGUGGGCCAGUGAUCCGUGAGGGAACUCAGGAAAGCAUAUCGAAGGAGUGAUUCCAGUAAGCCCAGAUCUUUAUCACAUCUGUUCCCAUAGAAAUGGUUUUCUGGGUACAUCUUUGUAAAUCUGGUUAUCUGUAAAUCUUUUGUUCCUACAACCUCUGCAUGGUUGCAAAAACUCAUAUAUCCUAGCUUCCCUCCUCACCUCCUCUGAAUGGUUUCUCAGGGUUACCUGAGAUGUUGUCUCCUGGGCUCAAGUCCUAAUUUCAUCCCAAAUAAAACUUAACUCUCAACUUUCAGGUUGUAUUUUUUUUUUUUAAUCAGUAAAACCGUAUCUGAGUUUGGCCUGUGAACUGACUUUUUUUUGACCUUUGGAUAAAGAGCAUUUAAAAUUCUUUCAACUUGUCAAAUGUCAUGAAGGAAAAACAGAUCAUGUUGUCUUUCAAGUGCCAUGAUGCCUACUUUUGUUGUAGACAAUGGUGGUGUGGAGACUAAAAAGAGUGGUUAGUGGUCUCCCGAGGAAAACUUGGCUGUUUCCAUUGGUUGGCCCUUUGAUCCAUCCUCCUCCUUGUGUUUUUGCCUCCUGUCUGGGUCUGUAACGCUCAUCCUCCCUAUAGGGUCUACUCAGAAGGUGGUCUUACAGGGACAGGUGAACCAUGUGGUCUAGCAAGAAUUUCUUUAGCUGUCCACUUACUGAGUCUUCUUUUUAUAAGGGACGUAAGACCAUUUUCAACAAGUUGGAAUACUCAAAAGACUGUAACAGUAUAAUGGAUGAAUUAGGAACAAAUAAAGUAGUUUUUCAAACCUAGGUUGUUUUUUCAGUUUAAUAAGCAGAAUUGAGUCUGCGACAUUCUACAGUAAGCAUUGUUUAAUCAUUAACACCAGGUUUCAUGCAAAUUGCCUAUAAUGCUGUGUGGAGCUGAGUGAAUUAAUUAUAUACGGAGAGGAAGUUCUAAAUAGCUGGGAAGAAACUUUCAAGUUCUCGGUUCCCUUUUGGGUCCUGCUUCCCAAGUAAUACCAUAAUUUAGCUGGUACAAUUUUUUCCCUACUUGGAUGGCACCUUAAACUUUACUGCCUCAAAGCCCCGCAGGAUAAACUCCAUUGAUUCUCUUGAAUGCAGGCUGACAGCGGAUUUCGAGGUCAUCAACUGGUAACACUGAAGUUGGAACAUAUGUCUUUUGUUAGCAUGAGAAUUCUGCAGGCACUGAAUAUUGUCUAAAUAAGCACAUAUGUGCUUUUAGAGCAUGUCAUUCAUGUCUUUAUCUUGGGCAAACAGAUGAACUGCACCCAUUCUUAACCCAAUUCUUCCAUUACUGCUGUCAUCAGAAUCUCUGGAAAGAAGUGAUUUUAACUGUCUCAGUCUUUAAAAUCACCUCUGAACUUUGAAAGAAUUUUCUUCUUUAGGCUACCUUUCCCCAUUCCAUGUUAUAUAAUACUGCAAGUGAAACAGUUUGGCACAUUGGUGGCAAAGUGGUGAUUUGUUGUACUGAAUGACAUUUAGUUUAAGACAUAUACAGGGAGUUCCUGUCAUAGCUCAGUGGUAACAAAACUGACUAGUAUCCAUAAGGAUGCAUGUUCGAUCCCUGGCCUUGCUCAGUGGGUUAAGGAUCAGGUGUUGCUGCAUGCUGUGGUACAGGUUGCAUAUGUCGCUUGGAUCCCACUUUGCUGUGGUUGUAGUAUAGGCUGGCAGCUACACUAGUUCCAAUUUGACCCCUAGCCUGGGAACUUCCAUAUGCCACAGGUGUGUCCCCCCAAAAGGAUAGCAACAUCAACAACAAAAAGACACAAACAUACACACAAUUUUGAGGUAGAAAGGGAGAGAAGAGAAAAAGCUUGGCUCACAGCAGGCUUUGUGUCUAAGCUGAAUAACAUCCAACCCUGCUGAGGUCUCUUAUCUUAAUGACUUUGCUAAGGAAGUUAUUAAAAAAAAAAAAAAAAAAAAGCUCAGUGAUAAGGAGCAAGCUUGAAAGAGUUAAAUAUAAAAAAUAGAAAAUUUCAUAGGAUUCUGAGAUUAGUCCUCAAAGGGUCAGUAGAUAUAUUUCUCUGGUUUUAAGGAGAAGCCUCCUGAAAAUGUCUAUUUAGAGGAAGAGCCCUUUUCAAAAGACAGAGAUUCAUGGAAGGAAAGCCAUGUUUCCAUAGUGAGUUAGGUUAUCUUUUUAAAAACACUCGCCAAUUAGAAAAGUAUUAUGUACAUUUUCAUAACUCUGUUUGUAAGACUCUGGUGGAGUUUGAGAAUAUAUAGACAUAGUUCAUAUAUAUCCUAGUGUUGCCAAAACCCAGCUUCUGUCCACCAGUGCCAAACAGAAAUAUGGCGACAGAGUUUUUGCUGAAGGAGAGAAAAAUAGCUUUAUUGCUUUGCCAGGCAAAGGAGGCCACAGCAGACUCAUGCCCCAAAGUCUGUGCCCUCCUUGGGGGAGAAUAGGAAGUGGUUUUAUAGUUUGGAAGCAGAAAAUAGGGCCACAGAUUAGGAUCAGCGUAGAUGGAAGCUUUCUUUCGCCUUCAGAGUUGGUGUUUAGAGGCCCCAGGACUGGUUCUAGGGCUCCUGCUCUCUGGGUUUCAUGUGUUGGAGGUUUUAGUUCUGCAGAAGAACUCAAAGAUAUUAUUAAUGUAUUUUGCUUGAAGAGGAACCAGGACCCUGCCCCAAGGCUGCACAUUUGUCUCUCCACUCUCCUCCCUGGUCUCUGCAUCCCUUCCCUUUCCUGAUUAGCAACAGUUUGAACCUGCCCUUUGGAACACAGGAAAGGUCAUGGAGGCUCAAGCUUAUUUUCUAAAAAUAAGAAAUGGGAGAUAUAGAAAGGUUUGUGCACAGGAGCCCCACAGAGCCAUUCUGGGUUUCACUAGGACUCUAUUGGCCACUGGGGCUGUCAUCAUUUGAUGGUCAUAUCUUUGCCAGACAGUGAUGUCAUGUGCUUGAUGAGGCACUAGUUUAGUUUUCCUUUGGUCAUGUCAUUAUAAU
Molecule: long non-coding RNA, 5237 nt
Filed under: Sus scrofa (pig)
Lineage: Eukaryota; Metazoa; Chordata; Mammalia; Artiodactyla; Suidae
Description: lncRNA (ENSSSCG00000053866.1)
Source: RNAcentral